CUAUUGCCAUUGGUGAAUGCUCCGAUGAUAAAUUACACAUUGACAUGGCUAGAGUCAGCUGGUGUAGAAGAGGUUUUUGUUUUCUGUUGUGCUCAUUCGAAGCAGGUGAUUAACUAUUUGGAGAAAUCUGAGUGGUUUAAUCAACCUAAUUUCACCGUAACAACUAUUGAGUCUCAGAAUUCUGUCAGUGCUGGAGAUGCUCUGCGUGUUAUUUACGAGUGCAAUGUGAUACAUGGAGACUUUGUCCUUGUCAGCGGAGAUACUGUGAGCAACAUGUCGCUUACUCAGGCACUUUUAGAACACAAAGAAAGGAAGAAGAAAGAUAGUAAUGCUGUAAUGACCAUGGUUAUCAAACGGUCAAAAACUAAUCCAGCUAUAUAUCCACCAGUCUCGACUUGGUACUGAUGAAAUUUUCAUGGCUAUUGAUCCUGAUACCAAGCAACUUUUGUAUUAUGAGGAUAAGGUAGACUAUUCAAAAGGCACUCUACAUCUCGAAAAUUCAUUGCUUGCUGAUAAUCCUUCCCUCUCUCUGCACCAUGACAAGCAGGAUUGUUACAUUAACAUCUGCUCACCAGAAGUCCUUAGCCUAUUUACAGACAAUUUUGACUACCAACAUCUUCGGCGUCAUUUUGUCAAGGGAUUGCUUGUUGAUGAUGUAAUUUCUCUUCCCCAUGCUAAAUUGACAUGCAUUAUUGUCUUUAAUAGAUUGAAAAAGAUUAUCCGUUCAUGA
This is a long non-coding RNA of Trifolium pratense (red clover), 730 nucleotides long. RefSeq lists it as uncharacterized. Lineage: Eukaryota; Viridiplantae; Streptophyta; Magnoliopsida; Fabales; Fabaceae. The transcript is spliced from 3 exons. The record is from RefSeq and is a predicted model, not a curated record.